AAUCCUCAUGCUGAGAAAUGAAUCGCAACCGAAUCUUCACAAAGUUCGUCCAAAAUACUUGGAAAAAUGGACGAAAUGCAACCUUCAAAUUCCCAUAAUCUCAGGGACUCUCAACAACAUGACAUGUACGAAGAGAAAAAUCAAAGGUAAGUAAAGGGAUAUCAAAAGGGCAGAGCAGAUUUACCACAAGAUCUGGUUGUAACAGAACAGUUUUCAGCAGGAAGAGGUCCUCUUGUAUCAACUUUGUUUAACAAUGAAUGGGGCCUACCCCUGCGCUUUGCCGACUUCCGCCCCCUGAAUUCGACACGGGAAAGUUUCCCUGAUUUGAGGAUUGUAAGCGACCAUUUUGAUAUUGUCUAUUUGGCCUUGUCACAGCCUGAUUUCUGUAUAGGAGAAGAGGUACCGGACCGUUGAUACUCAUCACAAGUGAUGUCAUCAUUCAGAUCACAGGACCUGCACCCAUUCUCCUCAGAAGCUUCAAAUUGGCUGUUUUCAUUUGACAUUUUGACUUUUGUUAUUGGCUAUUGCAACACAAACUUUAUGUGUUUAUAUGCCAGUGUGCUUGUCGUUGUCAAUAGACUUAACAAGACUUAGUCAGUACUGUGAGAUCCUGAUGUAGACUUUCGAUUAACCAGAAUAUAAGGAAGACUUUAUCCCACUUC
This is a long non-coding RNA of Saccostrea cuccullata (small rock oyster), 662 nucleotides long. RefSeq lists it as uncharacterized. NCBI's taxonomy places the organism in Eukaryota, Metazoa, Mollusca, Bivalvia, Ostreida, Ostreidae. The record is from RefSeq and is a predicted model, not a curated record. The transcript is spliced from 5 exons.